UGGGGAAUAUUGGACAAUGGGCGAAAGCCUGAUCCAGCAAUGCCGCGUGAGUGAUGAAGGCCUUAGGGUUGUAAAGCUCUUUUACCAGGGAUGAUAAUGAUAGUACCUGGAGAAUAAGCUCCGGCUAACUCCGUGCCAGCAGCCGCGGUAAUACGGAGGGAGCUAGCGUUGUUCGGAAUUACUGGGCGUAAAGCGUACGUAGGCGGUUAUUCAAGUCAGAGGUGAAAGCCCGGGGCUCAACCCCGGAACGGCCUUUGAAACUAGAUAGCUAGAAUCUUGGAGAGGUCAGUGGAAUUCCGAGUGUAGAGGUGAAAUUCGUAGAUAUUCGGAAGAACACCAGUGGCGAAGGCGACUGACUGGACAAGUAUUGACGCUGAGGUACGAAAGCGUGGGGAGCAAACAGGAUUAGAUACCCCGGUAGUCCCUGAGCGGGCUGGCAAGGCGCAU
Molecule: ribosomal RNA, 447 nt
Filed under: uncultured bacterium
Lineage: Bacteria
Description: bacterial SSU rRNA
Rfam family: Bacterial small subunit ribosomal RNA
Source: RNAcentral